UGCAAAGUAGUGAACAUAAUUUAU
RNAcentral lists this microRNA (24 nucleotides) under Bombyx mori (domestic silkworm). Its description in RNAcentral is "bmo-miR-2763-5p". Lineage: Eukaryota; Metazoa; Arthropoda; Insecta; Lepidoptera; Bombycidae. The record is from miRBase by way of RNAcentral.